Molecule: microRNA precursor, 194 nt
Filed under: Triticum urartu
Lineage: Eukaryota; Viridiplantae; Streptophyta; Magnoliopsida; Poales; Poaceae
Description: MIR159 microRNA precursor family
Rfam family: MIR159 microRNA precursor family
Source: Rfam by way of RNAcentral
GGUUUUGAGGUGGAGCUCCUAUCAUUCCAAUGAAGGGUCUAUCGAAGGGUUUGUGCAGCUGCUUGUUCAUGGUUCCCACUAUCCCAUCUCCAUUGAAAACGAGGAGAUCGGCUUGUGGUUUGCAUGACCGAGGAGCCGCUUCGAUCCCUGGCUGACCGCUGUUUGGAUUGAAGGGAGCUCUGCAUCUUGAUCUA